RNAcentral lists this long non-coding RNA (367 nucleotides) under Chinchilla lanigera (long-tailed chinchilla). RNAcentral describes it as "lncRNA (ENSCLAG00000027308.1)". Lineage: Eukaryota; Metazoa; Chordata; Mammalia; Rodentia; Chinchillidae. The record is from RNAcentral.
UAGGAUGGCCUAAACCUGACCUCCACCUGAGUUAUGGAUUCCAAGCACUACCUCUCAGGACCAGUUCAUAUAGAAGAUCUUCUGGGUUUCCUGGACACAUGGUCUUUGUUUAAGACAAGAAGAACCUGUCAUCCAACUCUGGAAGAAGAGGCAAGCAACCCCAAACCCAGUAACGUUUAGUUGGCGAGCCACUUUUUAGAAGCAAGCUACCGGAUAAGGUAGCUCCCCGAUAACGUUAGGAGGCAAUGUAGAAGCUUGUUAUAAGCGAGGACUUUCCUUAUAUUAAGUCUUGGCUCCUUCAGUUCCUGGCUGUGCCAUCUUGGGCAAGUUACUUAACCUUUCUGAGUCCCAGUGUUCUUAUUUGUAA